UGCUUGCAGAGCUUUCCUUCCCUUCAUUAAGGUACUACGACUCACCACAACAUGGUCGCCGGCUGCUGCACCAACGAGGUGACGGUCAACGUCAGCGUCCACAGGAUGUGGAAGGCGGCCGCCUGCGAGGAUCACAUCCUGCUGCCAAAGAUCAUUCCUCAGUACUUCGCUGGCGCAGAGCUCGUCGGCGAUGGCGAAGCUGGCAGCACAAAGACCUUCCACUUCACUCCAGGUUUAGAUUUUGAUGCUGCUUUCCGACAUUCGUGUGCGUGCGAGAAGAGAUCGCAAAACAAGGAUAAAAAAUAAUCUCACAUCGAUAAAAAGAAUCGGAUGAUACAUAUCGAAACCUUUUUGGUUGAAUUGAUGUAUGAUCUGUUAAUUGGAACUAAUUUGGCUAUUGUUGCGAUCCAUCGAACUGCAGCCGCAGAGCCACUGACCUUCGUGAAGGACCAUGUUGAGGUGUUGGACCACGGAAGCCACACGAUGAGGUACAAGGCGAUCGAAGGAGGUCACCUCGGCCGCACGCUCAAGUCGCACGCGUUCGAGGUCAAGUUCGAAGCGGCGGGCGCCGACAGCUGUGUCGUGAAGACCAAGACAGAAUACGAUACGAUCGACGACGCGCCGCUGCCGGAGGACGAGGUGCAGAAGAUGACGGACGUGCCAGUACGGAUGAUGAAGUCGGUGGAAGCCUAUCUGAUAGCCAACCCCGGUGUUUGUGCCUGAGCCCCUGAGCCUCUGAGCCGGUGGGCUUUCGUGUACCGACGUUGGUGCUUCCAGUGUCGUAGUGCUUGUCAUUGGGCGUGGAUCAAUCAAUAAUGAGGUGAUGCAGCAGUGCUGGAAUCAUCACCUUUAGAGUGAGAGAGUGAGAGAGUGAGAGAGAGAUAGGACAUGACAUGUUGAUGCCAUCUCUCUCUUUGUCUGUUCUUUCCAUCUUCUGCAAUGUGGUGUUUUGUGUGGUCGUUGAAGGACAUAUAUCUACAAAUAAGAUGUGAUUUCUUUGGUAUCAUGUAAUCCUUCUUUUUUGGUAUCAUUCUUAGUAGUCUCUUUUAAAGAUUCAAAGACUAGCGUAAUCCAAAUUAAACAUGGAUUUAAUUGAUUUUACUUAAACUAUAUGAUACGUUUAUAAUGUUUGUUCGUAACGAGUCAACCUUCUCGUAAUUUUAUUUACUCUCAUCCAUAAAUAAAUCAGUUACCGAUAAAUGAAUGCAUGAACAAACAAAUCGAUGUCACCUUAGUAAAAUAUACCUUGGGAUUAUAUAACUAAAAUUGAACAAAAUACCUUCUUAGACGACUAAAAUGGAUGCAUUUUGCUGAAAGAUUUUACGAUAAAAAAUUGAAGGUUAAUUCGUCGUCCAUAAAGUUUAAGUACAUAAGUGAUAGGUUCAUCCAUCGUCCAUAAAGUUUAAGUACAUAAGUGAUAAAACUUCAUCCAAUCUUAUGUUUGUUCAAAAUUUAUAUAAUUAAAUUUGAACAAAAUAUCUUACUAAAAUGGAUGCAUUUUGCUUGCUCUGAAAAAAUUUUACGAUAAAAAAUUGAAGGCUAAUCCAUCGUCAAUAAAAUUUAAGUACAUAAGUGAUAACGUAUCUUAGAACUUUCAUCCAAUCUUGUGUCGGUUCAAAAUUAAAUGUUAACAUGACAUGAGAUUUGACGUAAUAGUGAUGUGACCUUAUCUACAAACUCGAUAGAAACAAAUUAAUUCUUCUAUUUUUUAAGAUAAAUACUGGUAAUACGGCAACAUCAAAAAUAUUAUAUCGUACAAUUUGGUUCUUCCUCUUAGUUUCAAACAUGAAGCUCCACAAAGACGGCAAUAAAAUAAAAUUAACGAAGAAAAAUGCAACACGACAUCAACUCAUCGUGAUCUCACUCACCCUAACAAAGAAUAUAAUAAUAAACUACACCGUUGAAUGAACUGUUAAUUCUUUCAUUAAAUGCAUGAAAUACAUUUAUGGUGAAACUUUGUUUCUAACAUACAUACAUACAUACAUACAUACAUACAUACAUAUUUUAAUCUGACUAGCAUAUGCUUGAAGAAUCCGAUCAUUCUCGACUACGGCUGAUGAUGAUAUGGGGCUGCUCAACAAUGAAGACCGCAAAGUCUGCAUGCUUGUGAGCUUUGAAGUCUUCGCUUCAGUCAACAAAUACUAGCUAGUUUGAAUGCUUCCAAGUUUACCAUGACACCCACUUCUUAGAACAUUGAAUUGGGAUGAGGAUGCCAACAAGAGAAGAUGAACCGAUUCAUUGGCAUGGAGCGAUCUUCGCGUCAUCUCAGACCCCCCCCUUUUUCCAAUCUAAUCGAUGAGGUUACCUAAAGUUCAAACUUCAUCUGGAAGCCCGAGAUGACCCGGCACUCCAUCGCCGUCUAUAAAUGGACUCUUCCCCUUCCCUUCACCACCAACCCAUCACAGCCUGCAGAGCUCUCAUCCGGCAAAACACCUUCAUCGACGCCAUGGUUGCCGGGUGCUGCACCGAAGAGCUGACGCUCAAUGUCAGCGUCCACAGAGUAUGGAAGGCGGCCGCCUGCGAGGAUCACAUCCUGCUGCCAAAGAUCAUGCCGCAGUACUUCUCCGGCGCCGAGCUCAUCGGGGAUGGUGAAGCUGGCAGCACCAAGAUCUUCCACUUCGAUCCAGGUUUGGAUUCACAUCACCAAUGCUUCUUUCAGGUAACAGGAAGAUCCGUAAACUAUGCUGAUUUCAACUGGCAAUUCUGUGGAUGAGACUGCAGGUAUGAAGCCACUGAUCUUCGUGAAGAACCAUGUCGAAGUGCUGGAUCAUGGGAGCCACACCUUGAAGUACAAGACCGUCGAGGGAGGCCACCUCGGCCACACGCUCAAGUCGCACACCAUCGAGCACAAGUACGACGCCUUGAGCGCCGACACCUGCUCUCUGAAGAUCAAGGUGGAGUAUGAUACCAUCGACGACAAGGGGCUCCCCGAGGAGGAGGUGAACAAGAUCAAGGAGGGGUCGGUAUGGGUCGCCAAGGCUGUGGAAGGUUACCUGACCACCAACCCCGCUGCUUAUGCCUAAGCCUCUGGAAACUAUCCGUAUUGUCUGUCAUGUGUGGCUUAAUAAUGGUGGCGAUGCAGCAAUACUACUCAUCGUCACCACGAGAGAGAGAGAGAGAGAGUGUGU
Molecule: long non-coding RNA, 3128 nt
Filed under: Musa acuminata (dwarf banana)
Lineage: Eukaryota; Viridiplantae; Streptophyta; Magnoliopsida; Zingiberales; Musaceae
Description: long non-coding RNA (MACU_LNC004915)
Source: RNAcentral